GUUAUCUUUUCGAGAACAUCUUUCUUCUCUCUAUAGAAUGCAGUGAAACACGUUUGUUGGCUUUCACUCGCAACAGAGGUGAAAGACAGGAGAGUCAGAGGUGGUUUCUUAACCUUUUCCCAUAAGAGCAGUUUUUUUAAUGGCACAGUUCAGAAACUAUUAAAAAGUGUAAUAUUCAGAAAAUGUGCCAUAAAAAAAUGAGUGCUUAUUGGCAUUUCCAGGUAGGUGUGCAACGAUGACAUCAACGACUUCCUUUCGUCGAGAACUUCAUAUAGCUAUAAAAAGACUGGGCAGAUACUGAUCACAUCAGUGCUCACUCGAAACACAACGACUAGAAACUUUUAAGGAAGACAGAGAGAGAGACGACGCUGCAGUAUGAUGAAGUACACGAUUGUCUUUGUCCUGCUGCAUCUCUGCUACAGUUCUGGGUCAGACACAAACCAGAACAACGAGAACCUGAACAACGAGAUUAUACGAAGUCUGACCAACCUCACUGAACUCUGCAAAGACAACAAAGUCAAUUUCACAUCUCUAAACACUGUGGUUGUACCAGGAACGUACAAAAACCCUUCUGCCUGUGUGGGCGUCUACAGCAGGAAGCUGAGGGAUCUUCUGAACAACGUAACAGUCCAUGAUGACGCCAAAAUUAUUCUGAAAGGUCUAACGCUUCAGCUGCAGCAUCUGGAAUCGAAUCAAGAGAAUGACAAUUGCCAAAUGAAGCGGAACAUCAAAAAACCUUUUCCAGCAAAAAAUCUUUUUCUGUCUUACAAGAACUUCUUCAGGAGACUCAACAACAGAAGAUGAAGACUCAAGCCUGCUUUUUGUUUCAUGCAGGGCAGCUUCAACUGCUACUGACUGAGAGUUUUUGUUUAUUUCUUUGCGGCUAAAGAUUUCACAGAAAAUGAGAUGAUAGACCUGUGAAUGUAUCACAUAUGUAUUUUUACACAUUUCAAAUUCAAGAUUGGUCAAAAAUGACUUUUAUUUAUUUAUUUGAAUUAUUUAUUUCUAUUUAUUUUUUUAAUGUAUUUAUUUGUAUGCAAGUGUUGGUUUAAUCAGCCAUUUGGUACAGGUGCUUCAUAAAACCAACUGAUGAUGACAUGUGAUAUUCACAAUGUGAAAAACAGUAUUUCAGUCCAAAGGUGUUGUGCUGCUGCCUUCAAAUAAAUCAACUACUUUUAUAAUUUGUUCUCGUUAAUUCUUUUUUCACAAAAAAUAGACUGCCACUUUGUACCACUCAAAUGCAUACAUCACUGGUGAAGCAGAGCCACAGACCUGCCUGUGUAAGUCUUUUUUUCUAUGAAGCACUCAAGUCCCUGGUUUCUCCUUCAGCGUUUGGUCUUUAACAACAUUCCAGCUUUCUUUUUUUCUCAAUGACAACAUGCUGGAUGAAAAUUACGAGGCUAAUGCUAUAAUGUGUAGUCUGACCUCAUGGUGACAGUGUUGUCACAGUCCCACAAUGCUUAAGCACAGACACAGUGAUACAGAAGUUUGUCUCAUCAUCUCAUUCCACUAAUUGUGCAUCGUCGAUUCAUUUCCUCGCCUCCCUUCAUUGUGUCUUAGUCCCUCCGACCCGAGAUACGAGGAGAGAGCAAUAGCGAGGUAACAAGUAUUUAACGAAAUGAGACAUCCUUGCCU
Molecule: long non-coding RNA, 1635 nt
Organism: Acanthochromis polyacanthus (spiny chromis)
Lineage: Eukaryota; Metazoa; Chordata; Actinopteri; Pomacentridae
Exons: 4
Source: RefSeq, a predicted model, not a curated record